Molecule: ribosomal RNA, 852 nt
Filed under: Salmonella enterica
Lineage: Bacteria; Pseudomonadati; Pseudomonadota; Gammaproteobacteria; Enterobacterales; Enterobacteriaceae
Description: partial 23S ribosomal RNA
Rfam family: Bacterial large subunit ribosomal RNA
Source: RNAcentral
AAGCAUUCUCUGGUGUUGAAGGCCCUGCAAAGCAGCAUCGCGGUGGCGGAGCGUCGUUUGCGACGCCCAACACACAAAACAAGCGGUGAGUGCUUUGGGGUGGGGUGACUGCGUACCUUUUGUAUAAUGGGUCAGCGACUUAUAUUCUGUAGCAAGGUUAACCGAAUAGGGGAGCCGGAGGGAAACCGAGUCUUAAUUGGGCGUUAAGUUGCAGGGUAUAGACCCGAAACCCGGUGAUCUAGCCAUGGGCAGGUUGAAGGUUGGGUAACACUAACUGGAGGACCGAACCGACUAAUGUUGAAAAAUUAGCGGAUGACCUGUGGCUGGGGGUGAAAGGCCAAUCAAACCGGGAGAUAGCUGGUUCUCCCCGAAAGCUAUUUAGGUAGCGCCUCGUGAAUUCAUCUCCGGGGGUAGAGCACUGUUUCGGCUAGGGGGCCAUCCCGGCUUACCAACCCGAUGCAAACUGCGAAUACCGGAGAAUGUUAUCACGGGAGACACACGGCGGGUGCUAACGUCCGUCGUGAAGAGGGAAACAACCCAGACCGCCAGCUAAGGUCCCAAAGUCAUGGUUAAGUGGGAAACGAUGUGGGAAGGCCCAGACAGCCAGGAUGUUGGCUUAGAAGCAGCCAUCAUUUAAAGAAAGCGUAAUAGCUCACUGGUCGAGUCGGCCUGCGCGGAAGAUGUAACGGGGCUAAACCAUGCACCGAAGCUGCGGCAGCGAACGUAUCACUUAAAGCGAUUCAGCGGGUUACGAUUAACGGAGCGAAGCGACGUCAAAGCGUAUACAAAGUCGAGUCGGUUUAAGGAUACGUUCGUUGGGUAGGGGAGCGUUCUGUAAGCCUGUGAAGGUGG